AAUAAGUGCACAUGGUGGAUGCCUUGGCGAUUACAGGCGAUGAAGGACGUAGUAGCUUGCGAUAAGCUGCGGGGAGUGAGCAAACACACUUUGAUCCGCAGAUUUCCGAAUGGGGAAACCCGGCCUUUUAGGUCAUUGCAUGCUGAAUACAUAGGUAUGCAAAGCGAACGCGGCGAACUGAAACAUCUAAGUAGCUGCAGGAAAAGAAAUCAACCGAGAUUCCCAAAGUAGUGGCGAGCGAAAUGGGAUGAGCCUGCAUGAUUUAGCACGACGCAUAGUGGAACAGCUUGGAAACGCUGGCCAUAGAGGGUGAUAGCCCCUUACACGAAAUGCGAUGUGUGGAACUAAGUAUGCGACAAGUAGGGCGGGACACGAGAAAUCCUGUCUGAAUAUGGGGGGACCAUCCUCCAAGGCUAAAUACUCGUAAUCGACCGAUAGUGAACCAGUACCGUGAGGGAAAGGCGAAAAGAACCCCGGGAGGGGAGUGAAAUAGAUCCUGAAACCGUGUGCAUACAAACAGUAGGAGCGGACUUGUUCCGUGACUGCGUACCUUUUGUAUAAUGGGUCAGCGACUUACAUUCAGUGGCAAGGUUAACCAUAUAGGGAAGCCGUAGAGAAAUCGAGUCCGAACAGGGCGACAGUCGCUGGGUGUAGACCCGAAACCAAGUGAUCUAUCCAUGGCCAGGAUGAAGGUAGGGUAACACCUGCUGGAGGUCCGAACCGACUAGUGUUGCAAAACUAGCGGAUGAGCUGUGGAUAGGGGUGAAAGGCCAAUCAAACUUCGUGAUAGCUGGUUCUCCCCGAAAUGCAUUUAGGUGCAGCGUUGCGUGUUUCUUGCCGGAGGUAGAGCUACUGGAUGGCCGAUGGGCCCUACAAGGUUACUGACGUCAGCCAAACUCCGAAUGCCGGUAAGUGAGAGCGCAGCAGUGAGACUGUGGGGGAUAAGCUUCAUAGUCGAGAGGGAAACAACCCAGACCACCAACUAAGGUCCCUAAGCGCGUGCUAAGUGGGAAAGGAUGUGGAGUUGCUUAGACAACCAGGAGGUUGGCUUAGAAGCAGCCACCCU
This 1066-nucleotide ribosomal RNA is filed under the name uncultured Dinobryon. Its description in RNAcentral is "partial Bacterial large subunit ribosomal RNA". It matches the Rfam family "Bacterial large subunit ribosomal RNA", at positions 10 to 1122 of the family's 2925-position model. Lineage: Eukaryota; Chrysophyceae; Chromulinales. The record is from RNAcentral.